This 187-nucleotide small RNA is filed under the name Arabidopsis thaliana (thale cress). RNAcentral describes it as "ATSL238650". Lineage: Eukaryota; Viridiplantae; Streptophyta; Magnoliopsida; Brassicales; Brassicaceae. The record is from RNAcentral.
GACAUUAUAAGUUGUAUUAAGAGAAGCACUUUAUAACGAAUAUACCUUCAAACAUGACAUUGUUCUGAGCAAGGUAAAAGAAAACCUCAGCCCAAACCUUCUCUGCUACGUCGUAUGUUCUGUCAAUGUCGUGUUCUCCAUCCAACAAGAUCUCUGGCUCAACAAUCGGAACCAAACCGCUGUCCUG